CAAAGGAGCAUUAGUGGAAAAAAACAGGGUAGCCCUGAGACAAUAGGAUGACGUCACGACCAAUGAGAACGGCCAGCAGGGGGCGCAAGGAUUCACUUCUCUCUUGGACACUGACGGGUCUCGACACGCAAAUUCUGCUCCUGGCGUUGGCCGUCAGUGGAAGAGCGUAGCUUCGGUGGGGUUCUGUCUGCCUCUGAUGGGGUGCGGAUGUGUGGUUCGUCACUGGUGAAUGGUGUUCGACGAUGCAGGUGGAUUUUGUGACGAGCGGAUUUACAAUGAGGGAAUGCUGUGAAUGGGAAAAAUGAUGAGCUGUCCUAACCUGCCCAGACAUGCCAUGAUGACGUCACAGCUGACGUCACAGGAUGUGCGGAACUGGUGCUGCGAUGCUUUGCAACCUGCCUCAGUGCUCCGUCGCCCAGCGGCCUUUCCGGGCCGCUUUCUUCAAGACGAUGUCGUUGAUCUUCAACUAAACUCCUUCUCUCCA
Molecule: long non-coding RNA, 484 nt
Organism: Ornithodoros turicata
Lineage: Eukaryota; Metazoa; Arthropoda; Arachnida; Ixodida; Argasidae
Exons: 2
Source: RefSeq, a predicted model, not a curated record